CCUACGGGUGGCAGCAGUGAGGAAUAUUGGUCAAUGGACGCAAGCCUGAACCAGCCACGCCGCGUGCAGGAAGACGGCUCUAUGAGUUGUAAACUGCUUUUGUACGGGAGUAAACGCAGAUACGUGUAUCUGUCUGAAAGUGUCUUACAAAUAAGGAUCGGCUAACUCCGUGCCAGCAGCCGCGGGAAUACGGAGGAUUCAAGCGUUAUCCGGAUUUAUUGGGUGUAAAGGGUGCGUAGGCGGUCGGAUAAGUUAGAGGUGAAAUCCCGAGGCUCAACUUCGGUAUUGCCGCUGAUACUGGUCGGCUAGAGAGUAGUAGCGGUAGGCGGAAUGCAGGGUGUAGCGGUGAAAUGCGUAGAGAUCAGACAGAACACCGAUUGCGAAGGCAGCUUACCAAGCUACUUCUGACGCUGAGGCACGAAAGUGUGGGGAGCAAACAGGAUUAGAUACCCGGGUAGUC
Molecule: ribosomal RNA, 460 nt
Filed under: uncultured bacterium
Lineage: Bacteria
Description: partial 16S ribosomal RNA
Rfam family: Bacterial small subunit ribosomal RNA
Source: RNAcentral